RNAcentral lists this long non-coding RNA (747 nucleotides) under Androctonus crassicauda. Lineage: Eukaryota; Metazoa; Arthropoda; Arachnida; Scorpiones; Buthidae. The record is from RNAcentral.
CGUUGAAUCGCGAAAUUCGUUAAUUCUGGAUUCGUUAAAUCGGGGCUCGACUGUAUAUACAUUUUUAUUUUUCAUACUGGAAAGAUUUUUUAUUUGAACAUUAGACUAACAAGUAAGAUAAAUUCAAUGAGAGAAGGAAGUAGAGUUUGCAUACAUGAGUUGAAUUUAGUACUUAUAGCAAAUCGUUUAUUUUAAGCCGUUCUCCUUUUGGUGAAUACUGAAAUGCCUGGGUACACAGACCUAUGAUAGAAUUCACCGGGGAGGUGACAGAUUGGAAUCAAUAAAUUGUUCCUUAUCCUUUCUGAAAAGUCUGAAAGGUAUGGAGCUGAGAAUCGAUCCCUUACCUUCCAGAUGGAAGUCAUGUUUCAUCAUAUCAUCCAGAUAAUAAUCUUGUUAUCAGUAAUAUUUUACGUUGUUUCUCAUCUAGAUACUAUAUAUGCUAAACAGAAAGUUAAUCAAGUAGUUUAUUAUGAACUCUCCAUCCUCUUGAUGAGAUCAACUGGGAGUAUGAAGGAUGAGUAUCGACAUCUGGAUCGGACUCUAAUAAAAAAUUCACAAGGAAUAGAUCCGAGAAUCUGUUUUCUAUCCCGAGAGAAAUCUUAAUGCUCUUUCACUCAGUCAACAAACCGAUUGUGGAAAAUAUCACAUAUUAUGUUAACUUAUUUAUACAUAUUUUAUAUGUGUAUUUGGAAUAGUAUUUUUUACAUUGUUUCUAAAAUAAAUUCAUAUGUUAAUUUUUAUCGCUAU